Molecule: ribosomal RNA, 120 nt
Filed under: Saimiri boliviensis boliviensis (Bolivian squirrel monkey)
Lineage: Eukaryota; Metazoa; Chordata; Mammalia; Primates; Cebidae
Source: RNAcentral
AUCUAUGGCCUUACCACCCUCAACGUGUCCGAUCUCGGUCUCAUCUCGGAAGCUAAGCAGGGGCACGCCUGUUUAGUUCUUGGAUGGGAGACCACCUGGGAAUACUGGGUGCUGUAGGCU